AUAAUUACUCCAUACAGCAUUUGUCGCUGUGUGUGCAUUAAAUCCCAGUGAUGAAAAUCAAUAGUCAAGAUUACUGUACAUGGGGCCAACAUUCUUUUUAAUCCCAUUUAGUUAUAUUAUUCAUUGCAUCCACACUAUUGAGCCAAAUGAUGAUUAUGAUGAAAAAAGUUGGGAGGUAGAACUAAGAGUUCCCUUAAAAACAAAGCUGUAUUUUGUAACCUGGAACUGAUUUUGUCUAGUUUUGUCAUUUUUUGGUCAGUAAGCAACAAGUUAUUCCCUUGUUAGUUAGCUACAAUCCCUCUUCUUCACACUUUAAUUUGAUCUCUCCCUUCCUUGCUCUCUGACAGGGUAGAGAGAGAUAGAGAACAUGUAUAUAUAUAUAUGUGUGUGUGUGUACAAAUAUAUGCAUCAGAAACGAGGGAGAGUUGUUGAUGAGUGAUGAGUAGGAAUUAGUGGGGGGAUGAGGUAGGAAAGAAAAGACUGAUGGGGGAUGAUGAAGAUUUGUUUCAUCAGUAACGAGGGAGGAGGAAAGAAUAACUAUGAUGAUUCUUUGAUCCUUUCCUUCUAAAUAUGCCCAAAGGAAUGAACCAUCCCAUCCCAUCCCUCUCUCUCUCUCUCUCUCUCUCUCUCUCUCUCUCCCCUUCCUGAGUCCAUUAUUAUCUCUCUCUUCUAUAUCUAAUUAAUUACACCCACACCAUCCAAUUAAAACCUUCUCUCUGUCUCUCUCCUAUUUACUGUACAAGCCAUCUCAUAUCUUAAAUAGAACCAACUGCCCCUCUCCUUUUUGCAAUCUCUCAUGUUUGUUACUGGGUCUCUCUCUCUCUCUCUCUCUCUCAGUGUGUAAAUGUCUUUCAAAGGUUUCAGUACAAGGAUGCUUUUCUAUUUCAUGGUGGUUUAACAAAGGGUUUCUCACAGAGUUUCUUGGCAUUCUGUCCACCUCCUAUAACAUAUAUACAUAUAUAUAUAUACCUACCUCUCUCUCUCUCAUAUAUAUGGAGGUGGGCAUACUGCCAACUGAGCUCUGUUGGUAUCUCUUUGUAAAAACCCUCGUGAUUUCUCCAAAAACGGCCGUCAUGUUUCACUCGCUUGUUGUAUACAUCAUAAGGAUGAAGGGUUUUGAUUGCUUGUGUGCCUAACCCAUCUAUUUCUGGAGUGACAAAGCAACACAUCAAACACAAAAGUCUAUUUUAUUUCUUUUUCUUUGAUGUUUACUGGCUGUACAUGUGACUGCAAAUUCUGAACCCUAGCUCAUAUAUACCUACAUAUUUUUAUUUUUAUUUUUUAAAAAAAAAAUUAAAAAAUUCGUCUGGAUCUAUCAGAAGAAUUACUUGAUUUUGCUUUCCGUCCCCUUUUUUCACAUUAACAGUACCGUGGGUUUUCUUCUCUGUAAUGAUCCAAAGUUUGUCCUAUUUACCGUCGUGUGUUCUCUCUGUAAUGAUCCAAAGUUUGUCUUGUAUAUAUAUAGACUCUCUUUCUUUUAA
This is a long non-coding RNA of Cornus florida, 1481 nucleotides long. RefSeq lists it as uncharacterized. NCBI's taxonomy places the organism in Eukaryota, Viridiplantae, Streptophyta, Magnoliopsida, Cornales, Cornaceae. The transcript has 2 exons. The record is from RefSeq and is a predicted model, not a curated record.